AGCUGGUUGACAUCGGGUCAGAU
Molecule: non-coding RNA, 23 nt
Organism: Drosophila melanogaster (fruit fly)
Lineage: Eukaryota; Metazoa; Arthropoda; Insecta; Diptera; Drosophilidae
Source: Ensembl